CACGAUGCCAGGCAGCCAGCCAGCCAGGAGCAUCCGACCUGACCGGACUAUAAAGCUAUGCGUCUGGUGCUCCUCUCCUUCUUUUCCUUAGAACCCUAACCUCCGCCGCCUUCGUCUCGAGUCCGGGCCUGAGGAUCUCGCCCGAGCCGCCGUCCUCUGCGGUGCUGUGGGCUCUAAGGAUGUGCUCGUCGCGCUCUUCCAACCACGGUGUUGGUGCCGCGCUCUCCCACCUCUUGAUUUCCCCCGGCCACAUGCUCCUUGGCCACCUCUGCGCCAUCCCGCUGGAGACUAUCGUCGUCACCGGUAUUCGCCACGACCCAGGGCAGUACCUCGACAAAGAACCGUGCACCAUCGUCGUCCGGUGUCCGCCGUUUGCGGUGAGUUCCCCUCUCCGGUCCCUGCUGAGCCUUUGUUGUGCGCGCAUGUCAGUUUCCUACACCGCGUCAGCCCUCAGCCGUCAGCACCGCCGUAUACACCGUCGCCUGUAGCGUGCGUGCUCGCUCAUGUCGCAAGGUAUAAGACGCCCCAGGACCGUCGAUGUCCUGAUGGACGGAUAGGAUUAGCAUCUGCGGUUCCUUCGCGCAGACGGUACGACGACCGUCGAUCUAAGAAUGGUCGAAGGAGAUUAGGCGUUAGCAUACCUCUUCGUCCAGCAAGAUCUAGGCCGUAGAUUUAUAAUCCGAUGAAUGUGAAUGAACCUCAGUAACAUAGAAUUCAAGCCAUUGAUCUUGAUCCUGCGGCUCAGAUCUAUCCCCGACCCAGCCUCCCCUUGAUCUAUUCUAGGUCGUACAGAUCUAAUCCUACGGUCCAGCCAACUCCAUACCCCUUCGUGGGACAAAAUCUCAUAAGAACCCCUCUGUUUUAUAGAACUAACCCGCAGUCCGUAGUUACUGUUGCCUGAGUCUAGGGCUUUUUAUGGAUUAGCCCAUGUGAUUCCCAGAAAUUGGUGCGCAGUCCAGACAGUGAACAAAACUUAUAAAAUCAUUUAGGAAUGGAUUUUUAAUGUGAAAAUAAUGGCUAGAAUUUGUUUAACUCAUAGAAAAUUCAUACUUAGUCCAAAUUAAUCCAUUCCAGUUUCUAUAAUUUUGUAAUAUUAUUGUUUAUCAAUUAGUGCCACUGUUUUGACAUGAAAGACACAAUACAGUUCAUCUCCUAAUUAAUCUUGUAUCAAAUACAUGAAACCUUUGGAAAUUCAUAACUUCCCCAUUUUAAUUCCGAAUUGAACCGUUCUAGUUGCGUUAGUCUCGUAUGAAUAUUUACUAUGCAAUAAGAAUAUUUAUUAUACCAUGUCUCAUUCUUUUUUAAUUAGAUCUUUAUUUAACUUAUGUUGGUUAGUCUUGUUAAUCUGCUUAUCAUUAUAAUCUACUAAAAAUAUAUGAUCUAUGGUCAAGUUAUAAUUUGGAUUAAAGUUGAAUUAAUUACUACUUUAGGUUAUCUUUUCUCUGUAAUUAUAAAAUAAACAUAGAACCUAGUUUUAAUCAUUUAAUCACAUCAUAAAUUGAUGACCGUAACUCCAAUCUUAGUGGUUCUCGAUCCCGCAAUCUCGUAGCAACGCGUAGAUUAUUAUUAUUCAGUUUGUACUUAUAUUUGGUGUGAUGUUAAUUUUGUCUAUACCAUGUUUGUUUGUAUUUCUACGACUAGCAGUGAGGUCACGAGGAUCUGAAGAAUCAUCCUGGUACCUAGAAUCUCAAGUGCCAGGCAAGUUGUGCCUUUGACCACUUCUAUUACCCAAUAAUGUUCUUUAUUAUCACUAUUCAAUGCAUAGGUUUAAUUUUGAUGGGACCCAAUAGGUCACCCUAGUCUGAUUAUCUUUUACCUUGUUUACCCCUGAAUCACUUGGGUAGUUUUGCUAUUGCUUUAUAUGGUUUUGGGUUAAUAUUUCAUUAUAUCCAUGUUCCAAUUAUUCUUUUUAUUUUAUUUAUGUUCACGUCAAGGUCAUUGUAUUAUGUUAAUUGGAACAUGGAGCUUAACUUGAGAAACACGUGCCACCACAAGGGUGGAAUGGGACGCCCUUGGCUGACUAAUUAGGAAAGCUAGUGGAAGACUACCUUACCCAAAAUGGGCAAGGGCAGUAGGGGAGUUGCAUGCAAGGAGGUUCUCAGGUUGAUUUUGCUGCGAUGGCGGUCAGACGAGGGAUUCUUGCAAGAGCUCUUCCCAUAAACUGUAGCGGGUUUUUGGAAGCUAGUGGAACUUUGUAAAGGCCUCGUAGUGUUACCCUGCCUCGCUUCCUUGGUAGAGGUGUAUGGGAUUCAUGAUCCCUUGGCAGAUGGGUAACAUGACUUGUGGGUACAGGGUACAACCUCUGCAGAGUGUAAAACUGGUAUACUAGUCGAGCUCACGGUCAAGAGCAGCUCAGGACUCUCGCAUGAUUAAUUUAUGGAACUUAAAUUCAAUUUGUCAUUUGCAUUGCAUGGGAUUAUUUAUUAUGGUUUGGUAUUUACUUACAUUUAGUAAUUGCUAAUAAAAUCUGACCAACUUAUUAAAAGCAAUGCUCAGCUUUAACCCCUAUUGUUGAUCAGCCUUACACAUCACAUGAACUCCCACCUUUGGUGAGUUCAUGCCACAUUAUUCCCCAUAACUUGUUGAGCGAUGAACAUGUGUGAGCUCACCCUUGCUGUCUCACACCCCCCACAGGAGAAGUACAGGUGGUUCAAGAGGAGCCACACAACGAGGACUUUGACUUGAUCUAGGUGGCAUCUCCCAAUUGACUUUAUGGCGCUAAGGAUGGACUUUAGUUCGAUCUUUUUUGUAAAGACUUCCGCUAUGUAAUAAGUACUCUGAUUAUAUUGUGACAUUUAUCUUUAUACACUCUGUUAUUAUAUGUGUUGUCUUCUUUGGCG
RNAcentral lists this long non-coding RNA (2840 nucleotides) under Zea mays. RNAcentral describes it as "long non-coding RNA (ZMAY_LNC003798)". The record is from RNAcentral. Lineage: Eukaryota; Viridiplantae; Streptophyta; Magnoliopsida; Poales; Poaceae.